AUAAUGGGUCAGCGACUUAUAUUCUGUAGCAAGGUUAACCGAAUAGGGGAGCCGAAGGGAAACCGAGUCUUAACUGGGCGUUAAGUUGCAGGGUAUAGACCCGAAACCCGGUGAUCUAGCCAUGGGCAGGUUGAAGGUUGGGUAACACUAACUGGAGGACCGAACCGACUAAUGUUGAAAAAUUAGCGGAUGACUUGUGGCUGGGGGUGAAAGGCCAAUCAAACCGGGAGAUAGCUGGUUCUCCCCGAAAGCUAUUUAGGUAGCGCCUCGUGAAUUCAUCUCCGGGGGUAGAGCACUGUUUCGGCAAGGGGGUCAUCCCGACUUACCAACCCGAUGCAAACUGCGAAUACCGGAGAAUGUUAUCACGGGAGACACACGGCGGGUGCUAACGUCCGUCGUGAAGAGGGAAACAACCCAGACCGCCAGCUAAGGUCCCAAAGUCAUGGUUAAGUGGGAAACGAUGUGGGAAGGCCCAGACAGCCAGGAUGUUGGCUUAGAAGCAGCCAUCAUUUAAAGAAAGCGUAAUAGCUCACUGGUCGAGUCGGCCUGCGCGGAAGAUGUAACGGGGCUAAACCAUGCACCGAAGCUGCGGCAGCGACGCUGAUGCGUUGUUGGGUAGGGGAGCGUUCUGUAAGCCUGUGAAGGUGUGCUGUGAGGCAUGCUGGAGGUAUCAGAAGUGCGAAUGCUGACAUAAGUAACGAUAAAGCGGGUGAAAAGCCCGCUCGCCGGAAGACCAAGGGUUCCUGUCCAACGUUAAUCGGGGCAGGGUGAGUCGACCCCUAAGGCGAGGCCGAAAGGCGUAGUCGAUGGGAAACAGGUUAAUAUUCCUGUACUUGGUGUUACUGCGAAGGGG
RNAcentral lists this ribosomal RNA (853 nucleotides) under Escherichia coli. RNAcentral's name for it is "partial 23S ribosomal RNA". It matches the Rfam family "Bacterial large subunit ribosomal RNA", at positions 612 to 1469 of the family's 2925-position model. The record is from RNAcentral. Lineage: Bacteria; Pseudomonadati; Pseudomonadota; Gammaproteobacteria; Enterobacterales; Enterobacteriaceae.